UGCCUUCAAACGAAGGACAGGGGGCUGGAGAGAUGGCUCAGAGGUUAAGAGCACUGACUGCUCUUCCAGAGGUCCCAAGUUCAAUUCCCAGCAACCACAUGG
Molecule: microRNA precursor, 102 nt
Filed under: Cricetulus griseus (Chinese hamster)
Lineage: Eukaryota; Metazoa; Chordata; Mammalia; Rodentia; Cricetidae
Description: miRNA (ENSCGRG00001004978.1)
Source: RNAcentral